GACGAACGCUGGCGGCGUGCUUAACACAUGCAAGUCGAACGAAGAGCGACGGAAGCUUGCUUCUAUCAAUCUUAGUGGCGAACGGGUGAGUAACGCGUAAUCAACCUGCCCUUCAGAGGGGGACAACAGUUGGAAACGACUGCUAAUACCGCAUACGAUCUAAUCUCGGCAUCGAGGAUAGAUGAAAGGUGGCCUCUACAUGUAAGCUAUCACUGAAGGAGGGGAUUGCGUCUGAUUAGCUAGUUGGAGGGGUAACGGCCCACCAAGGCGAUGAUCAGUAGCCGGUCUGAGAGGAUGAACGGCCACAUUGGGACUGAGACACGGCCCAGACUCCUACGGGAGGCAGCAGUGGGGAAUCUUCCGCAAUGGACGAAAGUCUGACGGAGCAACGCCGCGUGAGUGAUGACGGCCUUCGGGUUGUAAAGCUCUGUUAAUCGGGACGAAAGGCCUUCUUGCAAAUAGUGAGAAGGAUUGACGGUACCGGAAUAGAAAGCCACGGCUAA
Molecule: ribosomal RNA, 503 nt
Filed under: Veillonella parvula
Lineage: Bacteria; Bacillati; Bacillota; Negativicutes; Veillonellales; Veillonellaceae
Description: bacterial SSU rRNA
Rfam family: Bacterial small subunit ribosomal RNA
Source: RNAcentral